GGCCUUGUGGUCUAGUGGUAUGAUUCUCGCUUUGGGUUCUUCCAAACAUGCGAGAGGCCCCGUGUUCGAUCCACGGCGAGGCCC
Non-coding RNA from Arthroderma sp. PD_2, 84 nucleotides. NCBI's taxonomy places the organism in Eukaryota, Fungi, Ascomycota, Eurotiomycetes, Onygenales, Arthrodermataceae. The record is from the annotation of a GenBank genome assembly.